GGAGGCGUAGCUCAAAUGGCAGAGCGCUCGCUUAGCACGCGAGAGGUACGGGGUUCGAUACUUCGCGCCUCCA
This 73-nucleotide transfer RNA is filed under the name Trichonephila clavipes. It matches the Rfam family "tRNA". Rfam says of the family: Transfer RNA (tRNA) molecules are approximately 80 nucleotides in length. Their secondary structure includes four short double-helical elements and three loops (D, anti-codon, and T loops). Further hydrogen bonds mediate the characteristic L-shaped molecular structure. tRNAs have two regions of fundamental functional importance: the anti-codon, which is responsible for specific mRNA codon recognition, and the 3' end, to which the tRNAs corresponding amino acid is attached (by aminoacyl-tRNA synthetases). tRNAs cope with the degeneracy of the genetic code in two manners: having more than one tRNA (with a specific anti-codon) for a particular amino acid; and 'wobble' base-pairing, i.e. permitting non-standard base-pairing at the 3rd anti-codon position. The record is from Rfam by way of RNAcentral. Lineage: Eukaryota; Metazoa; Arthropoda; Arachnida; Araneae; Nephilidae.